RNAcentral lists this long non-coding RNA (715 nucleotides) under Phasianus colchicus (ring-necked pheasant). Its description in RNAcentral is "lncRNA (ENSPCLG00000014034.1)". The record is from RNAcentral. Lineage: Eukaryota; Metazoa; Chordata; Aves; Galliformes; Phasianidae.
UCAGAGCUCAAGAUGGCCGCCAGAAAUGGGGGGGAUCGGGGACCAAGAUGGCCGCUGGAAGUCAAGAUAUCUGGCCUAAGUGGCCACCAGAAGUGGGGGUACCAGGGCCCGAGACGGCCACCAGAAAUGGGGGUAUGAAAGCCCAAGACAGCCACCGGAAGUGGGGUAUCAGGGUUCAAAAUGGCCACCGGAAGUGGGGUAUCAGGGUCCAAAAUGGCCACCGGAAGUGGGAAUAUUGAGUCUUUCCUACUGUCCCCCAUAGUGGCAGUGCGAUGCCCAGCAGCGCUGCAGGACGCCAUGUUGGAUUUGAGCCCCACGCUCCAGGCCCUGGCACAGGCGGGGCCCGUGGAGCUCCUCCCCCAGGGGGCGGGGCCGGAAGUGGGGCCGGAAGUGGGGCCUGGAUGGGUGGGGGCUCCCACAGGGACCGGCAUCCAUGUCUACAUCUGUCUGCAGGACCUGGUGGACCCCCACUCUGAACGUGCCCGGCUCCACGCCCGCACCCUCAACCUCCAGCACCGCCUCCGUGCCCUCACCCCCAGGGGGGAGGACCCCACAUCCUCCUCCCCCCACCAACGCCAGGUUUGCAGCCUCCGUUCUGAGCUCGCCCUCCUCACCCUGGCACUGGAAGCUUUGGGACCCCCCCAGGAGGAAGGACGACCCCCCCAGGAUGGAUAAUGCCAAUAAAAACCCCCAUAGGAAAAGCUCUUAACGAGCC